RNAcentral lists this ribosomal RNA (253 nucleotides) under uncultured bacterium. RNAcentral describes it as "partial 16S ribosomal RNA". It matches the Rfam family "Bacterial small subunit ribosomal RNA", at positions 524 to 776 of the family's 1533-position model. The record is from RNAcentral.
UACGUAGGGUGCGAGCGUUAAUCGGAAUUACUGGGCGUAAAGUGUGCGCAGGCGGCCGCGCAAGUCGAGUGUGAAAGCCCCGGGCUUAACUUGGGAAUUGCGCUCGAAACUACGUGGCUGGAGUAUGGCAGAGGAAGGUGGAAUUCCACGUGUAGCGGUGAAAUGCGUAGAGAUGUGGAGGAACACCGAUGGCGAAGGCAGCCUUCUGGGCCAAUACUGACGCUCAUGCACGAAAGCGUGGGGAGCAAACAGG